Molecule: transfer RNA, 76 nt
Filed under: Gammaproteobacteria bacterium
Lineage: Bacteria; Pseudomonadati; Pseudomonadota; Gammaproteobacteria
Description: tRNA-His
Rfam family: tRNA
About the family: Transfer RNA (tRNA) molecules are approximately 80 nucleotides in length. Their secondary structure includes four short double-helical elements and three loops (D, anti-codon, and T loops). Further hydrogen bonds mediate the characteristic L-shaped molecular structure. tRNAs have two regions of fundamental functional importance: the anti-codon, which is responsible for specific mRNA codon recognition, and the 3' end, to which the tRNAs corresponding amino acid is attached (by aminoacyl-tRNA synthetases). tRNAs cope with the degeneracy of the genetic code in two manners: having more than one tRNA (with a specific anti-codon) for a particular amino acid; and 'wobble' base-pairing, i.e. permitting non-standard base-pairing at the 3rd anti-codon position.
Source: RNAcentral
GUGAUCGUAGCUCAGUUGGUAGAGCCCCGGAUUGUGGUUCCGGUUGUCGUGGGUUCGAAUCCAAUCGAUCCCCCCA